Molecule: long non-coding RNA, 638 nt
Organism: Ornithodoros turicata
Lineage: Eukaryota; Metazoa; Arthropoda; Arachnida; Ixodida; Argasidae
Exons: 3
Source: RefSeq, a predicted model, not a curated record
UGCUGCAUACAACCCGCCAGGGUACACGGACAUGGAGGACCUUGAAGGAAAUGUCAUCGAAGGAGCUUGGCGAGCAGAAGCGGGGUCACUCCCAGGAAUGGAAGACAGAAUGGGUGUCGGAUGUAACCCAACAAGGACGGCAGCAGCAAUGCGAGAACAGCUCGCAAACUACUUCACUACAGAUGGCAGAGUACCGUGGCAAGACAAGUACAUCUUGAGGGCAUAGGGGAUACUGACACGUCAGUUCGCAGGUGCCGAGGCAGCUCCUUGAGCCUCCAACCAAUGGCUAUCCCGUGGCUUAUGCAAAUGUCGUCCCCUUUCUGGUGCAGACUAUCCAACUUCGUUGCACAGACAUCCAGCGUCUUCUGAAUUGUGUCAUCCAUAUCCAUGUCACCAGUAGCCUUCUCUUUCCUGACAAGUGUUUCACAUCUCGUGGAGUACACGACACCACUUUCUCUGCAUCACAUCAUUCUCAGUGUGUUACCUUUGUGCAUGUGCAGCUGCAGCAGUUCUUCUUCGCUUUUGUCCGCUUGCUGAUACGGACUGACCACUGGCGUGCAUCCCCUGAUUGCAGUGCUCCUCGUGUGCAUGACUAGAACUGAAUAUUAUGCUAAAAUAUAAAAAGCUUUCAAGAAAAC